This 703-nucleotide long non-coding RNA is filed under the name Carica papaya (papaya). RNAcentral's name for it is "long non-coding RNA (CPAP_LNC002058)". Lineage: Eukaryota; Viridiplantae; Streptophyta; Magnoliopsida; Brassicales; Caricaceae. The record is from RNAcentral.
UGUUACAGCACAGAGUUAUGGAGGGAGAGAUCUAGAAGGACUCCAGAAUCAGUGUUUGAUUGCCAAGAAGAACUGCAACUUGAAGGAGCCUGUUCCAUCUGUCUGCAAAUGGAGACAAUACAGUGAGUGCCAAAAUUAUUGCCAAUAAUUUUAACACGUAACAGUUCAAUAAUCAUGCAAAAGAAGAUAAGAGUCUUGUAAUGAAACGUUGAGUGACUCCAUAAGUACAACAUUCACUCAAAAGAAAAAGCUUUUCUGAUAAAGUAUAUGUGGGAUCCUGUAAGUACAUCAGUACAAAUAUUCCAACUCUUUGCUUGUCUAUAACUAGAUAAGAAAUUGAAGAUUCAGAAAGUUCCAAUGUAGAUCAUUGAGGCCAUCUGGCUUUCCAAAUUGUGGCUCUCUCAUAUCCCAGAAUCAAGAUAUGUAGCUAGAGUAAAUUUCAUGAUGGAAGAUAUAUAUUGCAGAAAAAUGUACUGUGGUAAAUAAAACUUCUACCAAUAAAGAAAACUGCUAUUGUAGUUGCUCCUUAACUCUGCUGAACUGAAAGCAUUAGAGAAGAUUAAUACACCAUAAGAUGCAAAAACUAAUUCACCUGGGAACUUCAUAAUCCCGUUAUCCUGCAACUGAAGUUCUUAAGUCCAGAAAUUCAAAGAAGAUUUUACCACAUACAGUUGACAUUUAAACCAUUGCAGACAUCUUUUUG